RNAcentral lists this unclassified non-coding RNA (529 nucleotides) under Bombus terrestris (buff-tailed bumblebee). RNAcentral's name for it is "misc RNA ENSBTSG00005032104.1". The record is from RNAcentral. Lineage: Eukaryota; Metazoa; Arthropoda; Insecta; Hymenoptera; Apidae.
UAUCAAUUUCAAUACCAUAUUGAUAAGUACGAUCAUCAUCUACUAAGUUAUACAAAUUAGAAAUUGGUGCUUCACAAAUAUAUAAGAACCUAUCUCUACCAGUUACUUUUUCCAGUCCCCAUCGUUGUAAAUUAUUAUGAUAAGAAUACACUAAAUAAUCUUCUCCAAGUGUAUUAUCAACUGGUUCAGUAUACCAUUUACGGUGUUGUGGAUCUUGCCAUAAUAAAUGAUAUAAUAUAAAUCCAUGUUCUUCUAAGGAAUUAAUUGUAAUAAGAUCACUCCGAUAAGCUUCACAAUUUUUUUUAGCUUCUUGUCUGUCCCUAAUAGGACUCUUUAUGAAACGGUAACAUGAUUCUUGAAAUUUUAUCCAAUGUUGUGGACACUGAUUUUGUUCUCCAUAUAAGACAUUUUGUGCAAAUGUAUAACUUGUUACAAUAAGAAUGUAUGUUAUAAUCUCUGAUACACAAUACAUUAUUAAUUCAAUAUAAUUGAAAGAUUAUAAAUUUAUCAAAUUAAUGGUAAUCUGAAA